GCGAAAUAGAGGCGGGCCUAAUACAUGCAAGUCGAGCGGCAGUAGGGAAGAUAGCUUGCUAUCUUUGCCGGCGAGCGGCGGAUGGGUGAGUAAUGCCUAGGGAUCUGCCCAGUCGAGGGGGAUAACAGUUGGAAACGACUGCUAAUACCGCAUACGCCCUACGGGGGAAAGGAGGGGACCUUCGGGCCUUCCGCGAUUGGAUGAACCUAGGUGGGAUUAGCUAGUUGGUGAGGUAAUGGCUCACCAAGGCGACGAUCCCUAGCUGUUCUGAGAGGAUGAUCAGCCACACUGGGACUGAGACACGGCCCAGACUCCUACGGGAGGCAGCAGUGGGGAAUAUUGCACAAUGGGGGAAACCCUGAUGCAGCCAUGCCGCGUGUGUGAAGAAGGCCUUCGGGUUGUAAAGCACUUUCUGUAGGGAGGAAAGGUAGCAGCUUAAUACGCUGUUGUUGUGACGUUACCUAAGGAAAAAAGACCGGCUAACUCCGUGCCCGCGGCGCGGAAAUACGGAAAGUCCCAUCGCGUUGCACAAAAUUAGACCACAUGCCCCGCCCCUUGUGCGGGCCCCCCGAAAUUUUUUUGAUUUUUAACCUUUGCGGCCGUACUCCCCCAGGCGGGCUACUUAAUGCGUUAGUUUGAGA
Molecule: ribosomal RNA, 641 nt
Filed under: Shewanella baltica
Lineage: Bacteria; Pseudomonadati; Pseudomonadota; Gammaproteobacteria; Alteromonadales; Shewanellaceae
Description: bacterial SSU rRNA
Rfam family: Bacterial small subunit ribosomal RNA (bases 6-520)
Source: RNAcentral